Molecule: ribosomal RNA, 529 nt
Filed under: uncultured Actinomycetes bacterium
Lineage: Bacteria; Bacillati; Actinomycetota; Actinomycetes
Description: bacterial SSU rRNA
Rfam family: Bacterial small subunit ribosomal RNA
Source: RNAcentral
UUCCACGGGCUCCGUGCCGGAGCUAACGCAUUAAGCGCCCCGCCUGGGGAGUACGGCCGCAAGGCUAAAGCUCAAAGGAAUUGACGGGGGCCCGCACAAGCGGCGGAGCAUGCGGCUUAAUUCGAUGCAACGCGAAGAACCUUACCAGGGCUUGACAUGCACGGUGCAGGGCCGGAGACGGUCUGUCCUUUGGGGUCGUGCACAGGUGGUGCAUGGUUGUCGUCAGCUCGUGUCGUGAGAUGUUGGGUUAAGUCCCGCAACGAGCGCAACCCUCGUCCUGUAUUGCCAGCAAGCGCUUUCGGGCGUGUUGGGGACUUGCGGGAGACUGCCGGGGUCAACUCGGAGGAAGGUGGGGACGACGUCAAAUCAUCAUGCCCCUUAUGUCCUGGGCUGCACGCAUGCUACAAUGGCCGGUACAGAGGGCUGCGAUGCCGUGAGGCGGAGCGAAUCCCGGAAAGCCGGUCUCAGUUCGGAUCGGGGUCUGCAACUCGACCCCGUGAAGUCGGAGUCGCUAGUAAUCGCAGAUCAG